UACGAAGGGGGCUAGCGUUGUUCGGAAUUACUGGGCGUAAAGCGCACGUAGGCGGACAUUUAAGUCAGGGGUGAAAUCCCGGGGCUCAACCCCGGAACUGCCUUUGAUACUGGGUGUCUUGAGUGUGGAAGAGGUCAGUGGAAUUGCGAGUGUAGAGGUGAAAUUCGUAGAUAUUCGCAGGAACACCAGUGGCGAAGGCGGCUGACUGGUCCACAACUGACGCUGAGGUGCGAAAGCGUGGGGAGCAAACAGG
This 253-nucleotide ribosomal RNA is filed under the name uncultured microorganism. RNAcentral describes it as "partial 16S ribosomal RNA". It matches the Rfam family "Bacterial small subunit ribosomal RNA", at positions 524 to 776 of the family's 1533-position model. The record is from RNAcentral.